ACGAACGCUGGCGGCAUGCCUAACACAUGCAAGUCGAACGAGACCUUCGGGUCUAGUGGCGCACGGGUGCGUAACGCGUGGGAAUCUGCCCUUUGCUACGGAAUAACUCGGGGAAACUCGUGCUAAUACCGUAUGAUGUCGCAAGACCAAAGAUUUAUCGGCAAGGGAUGAGCCCGCGUAGGAUUAGCUAGUUGGUGAGGUAAAGGCUCACCAAGGCGACGAUCCUUAGCGGUCUGAGAGGAUGAUCAGCCACACUGGGACUGAGACACGGCCCAGACUCCUACGGGAGGCAGCAGUAGGGAAUAUUGGGCAAUGGAGGCAACUCUGACCCAGCCAUGCCGCGUGCAGGAAGAAGGCCCUCAGGGUU
This 367-nucleotide ribosomal RNA is filed under the name uncultured bacterium. RNAcentral describes it as "bacterial SSU rRNA". It matches the Rfam family "Bacterial small subunit ribosomal RNA", at positions 29 to 424 of the family's 1533-position model. The record is from RNAcentral.